CAGUGUGUUGACACUAUUGCGCCGAUUUCGCCUCUUCAGGCAGCUUAACGCAGUGGUUUUCUCAGAGUUGCUUUGCCGAUUCAUACGACUGCAAGAAUGAUAGAAUACAAGGUGGUGUUACUAGAACAGCUGAUUGGAUAUUUUCCACAACUUUAUAUAGACGCGCCUUGACUAUAAUUUUGGCGGACAUUUACUGGCAAAUUGGCACAUUUUCAUCUUGCUUAUUCCUGGACAUUUUACAAGAGCUUAUUCAUCCAAGCGUCGCUGUGAGUUCCACGAGCGUUUCACUGCAUUUUCAUCUACUAAUCACUAAUUUUGCGUAUUCCUGCACAUUUUACAAGAGCUUAUUCAUCCAAGAGUCGCUGUGAGUUCCACGAGCGUUUCACUGCAUUUUCAUCUACUAAUCACUAAUUUUGCGUAUUCCUGCACAUUUUACAAGAGCUUAUUCAUCCAAGCGUCGCUGUGAGCUCCACGAGCGUUUCACUGCAUUUUCAUCAUGCCAAAUAAAAAGAGCGAAUUAUGGCUGCACUUCUCCGAUGAGAAAGACAAAAAAGUAAAAUGUAAUCUAUGUGGUCAGCAGAUA
Rhagoletis zephyria (snowberry fruit fly) is the source of this 583-nucleotide long non-coding RNA. RefSeq lists it as uncharacterized. The record is from RefSeq and is a predicted model, not a curated record. NCBI's taxonomy places the organism in Eukaryota, Metazoa, Arthropoda, Insecta, Diptera, Tephritidae.